UCCCACGAGUCUCAUGUAGCUCAGUGGUAGAGCGUCCGACCGAUGUGCGGAAGGUCAUAGGUUCGACUCCUGUUUGGGGAA
Molecule: transfer RNA, 81 nt
Filed under: Desmophyllum pertusum
Lineage: Eukaryota; Metazoa; Cnidaria; Anthozoa; Scleractinia; Caryophylliidae
Description: tRNA-Ile
Rfam family: tRNA (bases 10-81)
About the family: Transfer RNA (tRNA) molecules are approximately 80 nucleotides in length. Their secondary structure includes four short double-helical elements and three loops (D, anti-codon, and T loops).
Source: RNAcentral